Molecule: ribosomal RNA, 694 nt
Filed under: uncultured bacterium
Lineage: Bacteria
Description: bacterial SSU rRNA
Rfam family: Bacterial small subunit ribosomal RNA
Source: RNAcentral
AACGCUAGCUACAGGCUUAACACAUGCAAGUCGAGGGGUAACAAGAGAAAAGCUUGCUUUUCUUGUUGACGACCGGCGCACGGGUGAGUAACGCGUAUCCAACCUGCCUAUAACUAGGGAAUAACCUUGCGAAAGUAAGACUAAUACCCUAUGAUUUCCUUUGAUGACAUCAGAUUAGGAAUAAAGAUUUAUCGGUUAUAGAUGGGGAUGCGUCUGAUUAGCUUGUUGGCGGGGUAACGGCCCACCAAGGCAACGAUCAGUAGGGGUUCUGAGAGGAAGGUCCCCCACAUUGGAACUGAGACACGGUCCAAACUCCUACGGGAGGCAGCAGUGAGGAAUAUUGGUCAAUGGGCGGAAGCCUGAACCAGCCAAGUAGCGUGCAGGAUGACGGCCCUAUGGGUUGUAAACUGCUUUUAUACAGGAAUAAAGUUAGCCACGUGUGGUUAUUUGUAGGUACUGUAUGAAUAAGGACCGGCUAAUUCCGUGCCAGCAGCCGCGGUAAUACGGAGGAUCCGAGCGUUAUCCGGAUUUAUUGGGUUUAAAGGGAGCGUAGGCGGACGCUUAAGUCAGUUGUGAAAGUUUGCGGCUCAACCGUAAAAUUGCAGUUGAUACUGGGUGUCUUGAGUACAGUAGAGGCAGGCGGAAUUCGUGGUGUAGCGGUGAAAUGCUUAGAUAUCACGAAGAACUCCGAUUG